CAGUCGCCGCGGUAAUACGUAGGUGGCAAGCGUUGUCCGGAAUUAUUGGGCGUAAAGGGCUCGCAGGCGGUUUCUUAAGUCUGGUGUGAAAGCCCCCGGCUCAACCGGGGAGGGUCAUUGGAAACUGGGAAACUUGAGCGCAGAAGAGGAGAGUAGAAUUCCACGUGUAGCGGUGAAAUGCGUAGAGAUGUGGAGGAACACCCGUGGCGAAGGCGACUCUCUGGUCUGUAACUGACGCUGAGGAGCGAAAGCGUGGGGAGCGAACAGGAUUAGAUACCCGUGUAGUCCCUGUCUCUUAUAC
This 301-nucleotide ribosomal RNA is filed under the name uncultured bacterium. Its description in RNAcentral is "partial 16S ribosomal RNA". It matches the Rfam family "Bacterial small subunit ribosomal RNA", at positions 509 to 807 of the family's 1533-position model. The record is from RNAcentral.